UACAGAGGGUGCAAGCGUUGUUCGGAAUUAUUGGGCGUAAAGCGCGUGUAGGCGGCAUGGCAAGUCGGGUGUGAAAGCCCUCAGCCUAACUGAGGAAGUGCGCCCGAAACUGCCGUGCUUGAGUGCCGGAGAGGGUGGCGGAAUUCCCCAAGUAGAGGUGAAAUUCGUAGAUAUGGGGAGGAACACCGGUGGCGAAGGCGGCCACCUGGACGGUAACUGACGCUGAGACGCGAAAGCGUGGGGAGCAAACAGG
This 253-nucleotide ribosomal RNA is filed under the name uncultured bacterium. Its description in RNAcentral is "partial 16S ribosomal RNA". It matches the Rfam family "Bacterial small subunit ribosomal RNA", at positions 524 to 776 of the family's 1533-position model. The record is from RNAcentral.